UCUUCCUUGGUCUAGUGGUCAUGAUUUCCGCUUGUCAAGCCUAGCUAACAAGCGCGGGAGACCGGGGUUCGAUUCCCCGAGGGAGAG
Molecule: transfer RNA, 87 nt
Filed under: Exophiala aquamarina CBS 119918
Lineage: Eukaryota; Fungi; Ascomycota; Eurotiomycetes; Chaetothyriales; Herpotrichiellaceae
Rfam family: tRNA
About the family: Transfer RNA (tRNA) molecules are approximately 80 nucleotides in length. Their secondary structure includes four short double-helical elements and three loops (D, anti-codon, and T loops).
Source: Rfam by way of RNAcentral